CAAGUCGAACGGGAUUCGGGGUAGCAAUACUUUGAUGAGAGUGGCGCACGGGUGCGUAACGCGUAUGCAACCUACCUUUAACAGGGGAAUAGCCCCGAGAAAUCGGGAUUAAUACUCCGUAACAUUGCGGUGUGGCAUCACACUGCAAUUAAAGAUUUAUCGGUUAAAGAUGGGCAUGCGUGACAUUAGCUAGUUGGUGAGGUAACGGCUCACCAAGGCAACGAUGUCUAGGGGUCCUGAGAGGGCUAUCCCCCACACUGGUACUGAGACACGGACCAGACUCCUACGGGAGGCAGCAGUAAGGAAUAUUGGUCAAUGGGCGCAAGCCUGAACCAGCCAUGCCGCGUGCAGGAAGACGGCCCUAUGGGUUGUAAACUGCUUUUAUCAGGGAAUAAACCCCCGCUCGUGAGCGGGGCUGAAGGUACCUGAAGAAUAAGCAUCGGCUAACUCCGUGCCAGCAGCCGCGGUAAUACGGAGGAUGCAAGCGUUAUCCGGAUUCAUUGGGUUUAAAGGGUGCGCAGGCGGAUUGGUAAGUCAGGGGUGAAAUCCCACAGCUCAACUGUGGAACUGCCUUUGAUACUGUCAGUCUAGAGUAUAGUUGAAGUUGGCGGAAUGUGUCAUGUAGCGGUGAAAUGCUUAGAU
This 642-nucleotide ribosomal RNA is filed under the name uncultured bacterium. RNAcentral describes it as "bacterial SSU rRNA". It matches the Rfam family "Bacterial small subunit ribosomal RNA", at positions 58 to 695 of the family's 1533-position model. The record is from RNAcentral.